GCGGAAGUAGUUCAGUGGUAGAACAUCACCUUGCCAAGGUGAGGGUCGCGGGUUCGAGUCCCGUCUUCCGCUCCA
Molecule: transfer RNA, 75 nt
Filed under: Alkalihalophilus pseudofirmus
Lineage: Bacteria; Bacillati; Bacillota; Bacilli; Caryophanales; Bacillaceae
Also listed under: 6 other names
Description: Bacillus pseudofirmus tRNA-Gly
Rfam family: tRNA
About the family: Transfer RNA (tRNA) molecules are approximately 80 nucleotides in length. Their secondary structure includes four short double-helical elements and three loops (D, anti-codon, and T loops).
Source: RNAcentral